Cornus florida is the source of this 2854-nucleotide long non-coding RNA. RefSeq lists it as uncharacterized. Lineage: Eukaryota; Viridiplantae; Streptophyta; Magnoliopsida; Cornales; Cornaceae. The record is from RefSeq and is a predicted model, not a curated record. The transcript has 4 exons.
UUCUCUCUCUCUCUCUUCAAAUGCAAACUACAAAAUCUACAAGAAUCAGAAGUUCAAGACCCAUAUUUUCAGUUUAUCUCUCUGUCUGCAAGAAUCAAAAGUUCAAAUCCCAUAUCCGCAUAUCAUUUCAGAUUCUUCAAAAAAUCAAAACCCAUAUCUUUCAGUUUCCAUCACCCGCUGUUCCAGUUCGGGUUCGCCGUUCGCAAGCUUUAGCCGCUGUCUCUCAACUCUCAAGCUUCCCCCCCUCUCUGCAACUGCUAACUUGUAUGUAUGGGUUUUGUUUUAAUUUUUUUUUUCUUUCUAAUUCAACUAAUCAAGCUCUGUAAUUCUUGUUUUGCAAAAUUAAAUCCUAUUUGGUGAAAUUUUUUAUGAUCUUUUUUAUAUAAUUUUUUUUUUUUACUAUAUGAAGUAACAAAUUUUUUUAUAAUCUUUUUUAUGAUCUUUUUUAUAUGAUCUUUUUUAUAUAAUCCAUUUCUGCAUCUCCUCCGUCUAUAUAAUAAUACACAUAUAUACCUCUCGACUCUGUGUUGCUUCAUUUUCUCUUUCGUCUCUAUUUUUUUUUGUCUCUGUUGCAAAUAUCAGUCCUCUCUCUAGUCUAUACCCUGCCCAAGGAUCAUGCCUCGUCAGUCCUCUGGUAUACUUGUUGGGAAGAAAGCUCAACCGAAGUGAAGUGAGUGGUAUCGGAAAAAUAUUGCGUUGUUGAUGACCAGAGUGUCGAUCGUAUCGAAUUGUUCAGAAGAAGGAUGUAAUAGUGUACCAAUUGGUGACUUAUGCCACUGUUGAAGAAGCUAUUUACAAAAAAACAAGUUUAAUACAUACAUUGUUGUACUUGUCUACACACUGUUUGGUAUAGAUGUCUUCCUUUUGUUUUUUUUUUUUUUUGUUACUUAAAUUUCAUGAUAUAGGUAAUGAAAACUGGACUAGGCUGUUUAAAUGUGUGACUGAAGAUAAAGUAUGGUAUUUUAGUCUAAAGGAAUCUGAAGAUGUGUUUAGGCUCCCAAAAAGGGGUUUGGUGUUUCUGUUACGUGCUGCAAGCAGUGCACGGCCAUCCACUUUUAGUUGAAUUAUAUAAAUCCCUUUACCAUUGUAGCAGUGAUGUUGGUUUUAAAAUGACCAAUUAUGAUAGGAAGUCUCUUUUCAGUUUAUCUUAAUCAAAUGUAUAUGUAUGCAACAGGAUUACGUGAUUCUAGAUGAGGAUGUUAAUGUUCUAGUGAUGACGACUGAUGAUGUGUUGAUGAGGAUGUUAAUGACUUCUGUUGUAUAUGUGAUGCACUCAAAUUAAGUCUAUUGUUUGAAAGCACUUAUGCCUUUUCAAUGUCCAGUUUGCACACAAUCCCCAGAACACCACUUCUAAUUUUGGCCUCCACACACUCACUAGCAACCAAUAUUGAAUCCAUAAUCUGAGGACCACUAACAAAAGCAUUCUAAGAAUCCGAAAUCACCUCAUCUAAAACCGUCCUCAAACGGAUGGCUAAUAUGUAGAGAAAAUCUUAUAAAUGGUACCCAUCAAGCUGAUCGAUCUGAAGUCCUUUGCAUCGAAAACACCACUUUUCUUCGGGAUAAGAUCGAUAAAAGAGGCAUCAAGGUUUUUCUCAAAAACACCAUAUGAGAAGAAAGAGCUCCCAUCACGUCGGGCUUAACCACCUCCCAAUUGUGUUGGAAGAAAGCUAACGUAAACCCAUCCGGCCUUGGGGCUUUGUCACCCUCACAACUCCUCAAGGCUUCCAAUACCUCCUCCUCCCUGAAAGGCCUCUCAAGCCACUUUUUAUCUUCACUCGAUAUUUAGUCAAACUCCAGACCAUCCAGUAUAGCCUAUAGGUCUCCAUGAAGCAGUUUCCAUGAAUAGGUUCUGAAAAAAUACCACAAAACCAGCUCGUACGUCCUCAUCCCUUGUAUCCAUAUUACAGUCAAAACAUAUUCUACUGAUGUGGUUUCCUCUUCUACGGGCAUUAGCCAAGCGGUGGAAAAAACUCGUAUUCUGAUCACCUUCUGUUAGCCAAAGAGCUCUAGAUCUCUGCCUCCAAUAGAUCUCUUCCAUUAUCACAAUCUCUCCAAACUUAACCUUUCAUUUUGCCCUCCUAUUUGAGUCCGUAGCGCUAAGAAAUCCUUUACCUUCCUUUUUAUCAAUGUCAGCAAUUUCUUGAAUAAUUCUGUUUUUACGCCAUAUCAGAUUACCAAACACUUCUUAUUCCGCUUCUGUAAAUUCCCCUUAAGCAACAUAAUUUUGGAUGCAAGUGGAAAACUUGUGUUUCCCCUAACUUCAUCCCAUGUCCACCAGUAAUGAACCCUCUCCUUGAAGUCCCCUAGUCUAAGCCACAUAUUCUCAAAACAGAACGGUGUUCGCCUUCUCCUUACCCCUCCACAAUCGAGUAGAAUAGUAAUAUGGUCUGAAACCACUCUUGCUAAAGCAACUUCCGACACAUCUGGGAAUUUCUUUUCCAAUUCUAUCGAAAUAAAAAAUCUGUCCAGCCGAGACAACGUAGGGGACUCCCGUCCACUAGACCAUGUAAACUGCCCUCCCUCCAUUGGAAGAUCAAAAAGAUGUUGAGCGUCAAUGAAAUCUGAAAACUCCUUCAUCGCAUGCGUCGAUCUUCCUUUGUGGAUCUUUCAUUAGGCUUCUUGGCAACAUUAAAAUCCCCUCCCACACAGCACGGAGCUGUACAUUUCCUUCUAGCAAACAACAACUCCUUCCAUAACACCCUUCUAUCCACAUCCCUUACUGGCUCAUAAACUCCAGAGAAUAACCACUGCGAUCCCAUCUUCCUCCAGAGAGAAUAAAAUAGAAAUAGAUGAUCUCCCCUUCCACAUGUCAACCUUAGAUACCCACCUUUUAUCCCAGACGACCAUAAUCCCU